RNAcentral lists this long non-coding RNA (3111 nucleotides) under Solanum pimpinellifolium. Its description in RNAcentral is "long non-coding RNA (SPIM_LNC000036)". Lineage: Eukaryota; Viridiplantae; Streptophyta; Magnoliopsida; Solanales; Solanaceae. The record is from RNAcentral.
CAAAUAGCUCAGGAACAAAUAUGUACAGAAUAGAAAGAUUCCAACCUCCCAAGUAAAGAACUGUUACAAAUAAUGAAGAAACUAGUAGAUUCAGAUAUGAAACAAUGUAAAAUAAACCAAAUUUGAUACCUGAAUAUUCGGUAUGAUACCCUGCUACUAAUUCUUCUUCUGCUUCUGGUAAAUCAAAAGGUAAUCUUUCACACUCGGCGAGAGAUGAAAUUAGAAAAAUGAUAAAAUUGAUGGGUUGACACCACAAAUUCCACCCCAAAAAACCAUAUUUUGACUACUUUUCCACUAUAUCAACUGUACUUGAAUGUUAGAUAAUCAUGGUCGAUGAUAACAUCACCAUGCCUAUGGCUAUUACGGAGCUGUAUGUGAGAUUUUUACCUCAUACGGCUCCUUAGAGGUCACAAAUAAAUCUAAGGGCUCUUUCCUAUUCUUUAUCUGCUAUAUUUAAAAUUAAUAAAUAAGUGCUUUUGAAUUUAUCUCAUCUUUUAAGAAUUUUAAUUUGGAUUUGUUGAUUAAUAACCAUAUCAUUAAAUAAAAUAAAAAAUAUGCUUUAUAGCAAUAUCACAUAUACAUGUCAACCUCAAAUUUUCAAUUACGAAAAAUAUUAGAGAGUUGAUUAGUUCAUGAAUCAUGACAAAAAUUUGAUCUCUCUAAAUAGAAAUCAAAAUUAAAUUAUAGGAAAGAAAGAAUAAGAACAAAAAAAGAAAAAGAAAGGAAAAAACAACGACAUCUCUCCUUUUUUUUUCAAUUAGAUUCUUUUCUUUCUAUUUUGAUUUCUUUUAUUUCAUUCCUAUUCUCCUUUCUCAGAAAAAGUGUCUUUAACCAAAGUAAAAGAUUAAUUCAUUCGUGAUAGUUAUUUACUUACUCAGUGAAUAGGAAUAUACUCUGGAUCAGAAUCAUGGGGAGUACUUCUUCAUCAUUUCUACGAAUGUAAAACACCAAUUUGAAUUCCUUUUAUGUACAUAAAUAUCCUCUUGGAUAACUUACGUAAUCUCAAUUAUUAAUCCUUUGUGUAUCUUGGUCUUCAUAACCAUCCACUUAUUUUUUCUUUCAAAAACCUGCUGUUGUGGAAAUCUAUCUAUGGUAAUAGACAAAAAAAACUUCAUACAGUUGAUCUUUUGAACCCACUUCAAGUUAUCAUGAUAAUUCACGAAUCUUGGGGUAAACAAUCUCUAUNAAAAGGCCGAAUAAAUUGGAUUGGGAAGUAAUACCACUCCUAGACCCCCUAAUAUAAGACCCGAUCCUAGAAAGACUAAAAGAAAAUCAUGUAUUGGUUCAGAUAAAUCCAUUUUUUAUAAAAAAUCAAAAACGAAGAAUUUCAUGACUUUAUUGACCUGACCAGGAAAAAAGCAGUUUUUCUAUUUUUUAUGAUACUUUGAAAUUGUUAAUUGAAUGAAAUUCUAAUGGGUAUAAAUUGCGGUGGAUGCUUUUAUUUUAUUGGACCACUAUCCAUUCUUUACUCGUCGAAAGAGUAGUUUAAACCUAUCUAUUUUUGAUAUCAUUUAUCUACUUUGAAACCAUUACUAUUUUACUAUUAUCUAUUAUAAUAUAUAAUAUGGAAAUCAAUUUUGUUUUCAAUCUAAAUUAAGCUAGUAGUCUCAUUAAGCAACCACUAGUUUGAAUUGCCCAAGCAAAAAUCUCAUUGUUUUAGAUCCGAACUAAGCCUUCGUAAUUCGUAAUUUUUUUGAAUCGAAUUAAGGGUUUAUUCAUUCUUUAUUUGAGGUAAAUUCAAAAUUGUUCGAAUUGUGUAAUCAUCAAUUACUGACAUUGGUAAGCGACCCAAAGCGAUUUGAUUAUAAUUCAAUUCGUGACGAUCAUAAGUAGAAAGUUCAUAUUCUUCGGUCAUUGAUAAACAAUUUGUUGGGCAAUACUCAACACAAUUACCACAAAAUAUACAGAUUCCAAAAUCAAUACUGUAAUUCAGCAAUCGUUUCUUUCGAAUAUCAGUUUCCAACUUCCAAUCAACAACGGGUAAAUCUAUAGGACAUACACGCACACAUACCUCACAAGCAAUGCAUUUAUCAAAUUCAAAGUGUAUUCGGCCUCGGAAACGUUCCGAUGUGAUCAAUUUUUCGUAGGGGUAUUGAAUAGUUACAGGUAAACGAUUUGCGUGGGACAGGGUAAUGAUGAAACCUUGGCCGAUGUAUCUGGCGGCUCGUAUUGUUUGUUGACCAUAAUUUAGGAAUUCCGUUAUCAUAGGGAGCAUAUGUUGAAUAUCUAUAAAAAAGAUUUUAUGCUUGUUUCUUUCUCUUGUUUGAGACAAGUCGUGAAUCUAGGAUAUUGUGGUCUUUUACAGUGAAAGAAGUUGGAACGAGGUUGUCAAUAAUAGAUUACCUAGAGAAAUCGGUAAAAGAAAUUUCCACCCAAGAUUUAAUAGUUGGUCCAUUCUCAGCCUCGGUAAGGUCCAUCUUGUUGCAAUAGGAAUGAACAAAAACAAAUAAGUUUUGGCUAAUGUGAUAAAAAUACCAAUUAGUCUUCCAAAGACUUUACCCCUUUUAUUUAUGCCAAAUAGCUCAGGAACUAAUAUGUACGGAAUAGAAAGAUUCCAACCUCCCAAGUAAAGAACUGUUACAAAUAAUGAAGAAACUAGUAGAUUCAGAUAUGAAGCAAUGUAAAAUAAACCAAAUUUGAUACCUGAAUAUUCGGUUUGAUACCCUGCUACUAAUUCUUCUUCUGCUUCUGGUAAAUCAAAAGGUAAUCUUUCACACUCGGCGAGAGACGAAAUUAGAAAAACGAUAAACCCGAUGGGUUGACGCCACAAAUUCCACCCCCAAAAACCAUAUUUUGACUGCGCUUCCACUAUAUCAACUGUACUUGAACUAUUAGAUAAUCAUAGUCGAUGAUAACAUCACUGUGCCCAUCGCUAUUACAGAACCGUACGUGAGAUUUUCACCUCAUACGGCUCCUCAGAGGUCACAAAUAAAUCUAAGGGCCCUUUCCUCUUCUUUAUCUUGAUAUGUUUGUCAGAUAGAGUCAAAAUCUAUCCUAAGGUCCCAAAUUAGACCAAUGGAAUUCUGUCUGCUAUAUUUAAAAUUAAUAAAUAAGUGCUUCUGAAUUUAUCUCAUCUUUUAAGAAUUUUAAUUUGGCUUUGUUGAUUAAUAA